GUGUCGUUCGAAAGCCUUUGAUUUGUCCGCAGUUAAGGGGCGCUGAAGAGAGUGAAUUGAACCCUUCGCCCAAGCUGAAAGCGAUUUGGAUCAAGGUCGCCGAGCAAGCAAUCGUGGGAAUUCAAUUAUUAAGAGCAGUACGCGCGAAGUUAUUCAUCAAGUUAGUUUGUAUUUAGGGUAAUCAUCCUGCCUUACUUCAUAUGAAUGAAUUUCAUACAAAAGAAUGUGACUUAGCAGCAUAUAGUGUGAAAAGAUGAGUAUCAAUUAUGGAUUCUUAAUUGCUCAUACUUAAAUCAUCAAAUACAGUUAUAAUCGCUUAUCAUUGCUUGUCAAAGUGACAAGUGCAUAUCAGUUUAAUAGGCUCUAUGACGGGCAGUUUAGACUAACUAAGUAGUAGGUCUCGGUCUCGAGUCUUAUCAGUCAAGCGCCAAAGGCCAAACAUCAGUGGAGCAAUCAAUGGAGGCGAAGUACAUAUGUACUUAUUUGCAAAAUGUGUUGAAUGGAAGUGGAUCAUCAUUGCCCCUCAUAAAAGGAACACAGCGGCGCACCCAUAACAGGGAAAAUAACGAAAGGAGUAUGAGAAAUAUAUAUUUAUACACAGACGAAGGUAUCAAAGCAAUCAGGGGGUGUAUACAACAACAAUGGAGUGCUGCUGCCUAACGACAAAAACAAGAGAGAGCGAGAGCACAAGGGAAAGUUGCGGAGCACCCACAGCUGCACUGCGUCACCCCUUCGCAGACGGUUUUCCAUUUCGCAUAAUUUAAUCAGUGUUUAAUUGGCUUAAGGAAAAACAACGAAUAUUACUCACCGUUUU
Molecule: non-coding RNA, 814 nt
Organism: Drosophila melanogaster (fruit fly)
Lineage: Eukaryota; Metazoa; Arthropoda; Insecta; Diptera; Drosophilidae
Source: Ensembl